This 470-nucleotide ribosomal RNA is filed under the name Nonagria typhae. RNAcentral describes it as "partial 16S large subunit ribosomal RNA". The record is from RNAcentral. Lineage: Eukaryota; Metazoa; Arthropoda; Insecta; Lepidoptera; Noctuidae.
UGUCUUUUUGAAAAUAAUAUAAAGUCUAAUCUGCCCACUGAUUUAAUAUUAAAGGGCUGCAGUAUAUUGACUGUACAAAGGUAGCAUAAUCAUUAGUCAUUUAAUUGAUGACUUGUAUGAAGGAUUGGAUGAAAUAUAAACUGUCUCUUAAUUAAAUAUAGAAUUUAAUUUUUUAAUUAAAAAGUUAAAAUGAAUUAAAAAGACGAGAAGACCCUAUAGAGUUUUAUAAUUAAUUUAAUUAAGAUUAUUUAAUUAAAUUAAAAUUAAAUUAUUUAUUUUGUUGGGGUGAUGGAAAAAUAUAGUUAACUUUUUUUAUUUUAGAACAUUUAUAAGUGGUUAAAUGAUCCAAUAUUAUUGAUUAUAAGAAAAAAUUACCUUAGGGAUAACAGCGUAAUUUUUUUUUUUAGUUCAAAUAAGAAAAAGAGUUUGCGACCUCGAUGUUGGAUUAAGAUAAAAUUUAAAUGCAGAAG